CCAGCGCCACCACCCUCCUGCAUCCGCAAGCGGCGGCGCUCAGAUUAUCGACCCCCUGAAGUGAAGCCCCCCCUCGAGCUCCGGGUAUGGUGUAUCGCUCGCCUCGCCUCGCCUCCGGCAGUGAAGAAGCAUCGAGCCACAUUCAGGCGGUUCGUAAGAUCUGCCCCCCUUCCUUCUAUCUAUCCCCCCCGAUCGAUCCGCGCCAGGAAGAUCGAAAUCGGAACUCCAGAUCGAGUCUCGGAUAGAGCUCCCGAUCCGGAAACAGCUGCAGUGAUUGAACCAGAGCAGGAGGGGGACGUGAAGAGGGAAUCGUACCCGGGAGGCGCGCGGAUCAACACCUGAGAUCUCCCGGAGGCGAGGCGGGCGCCGUCGAAGGAGGACGAGGAGGCGGCGCCGUCGAAGGAGGAGGACGAGGAGGCGGCGCCGCCGCCUCCGCCUCUGGAGCUCGACUCCUGGGCCAGGGAGCGGAGGCCGGCCGCGAAGCUGUCCAUUCUCCCUCCCCUCGACGAGCCGCAAAAGCUGCGCCGCCGCGAACGAGGGAGACAGACGGUGGGGGGGUCUCUAGGGCUUCCUCUCGCCUUCAGCCGCCUCCGAGACGCGGGAGAAGGCUUUCACACGUGGGCCGAGUCGCCUCGGCCCAAUAUGCCCGCCCGCCCACCCUCCUAAAACCAUGCGGCUUUUUUUUUCAAUUUAAUUACCGCUUAAUUCAGUAAAUUCCAUCGAUAUUUCUCACGACCCGAACCUCUUGCAGAGUUUCUGCUCAUGGAAAGGAGGGGGGGCCCACUCCGGGGAGCUUCAUGGCUCCCUGGACCAGUCCCCGCUCUUGCCGCCGGUUUUCCUGUCGAGGCGGAGGUCGGUGAUCUGGAUGUCCUUGGAGGCGGCCUUGCACAUGUCGUAGACG
Molecule: long non-coding RNA, 901 nt
Filed under: Spirodela polyrhiza (greater duckweed)
Lineage: Eukaryota; Viridiplantae; Streptophyta; Magnoliopsida; Alismatales; Araceae
Description: long non-coding RNA (SPOL_LNC001352)
Source: RNAcentral